AAAAAAUGUACACCCGGUGAGUCGAAAACCCGAAAGGGCGGAUCGGGCAAAAAAGGGUAUCCUGGUGGAUUGAAAACCCAAAAGGGCGGUCCACGCAAAAGAGGGAAUAAGCGAAUGACUGCGAUCCAAGUUCAUCCGUGUUACAUCGCCGUUUCAUUCAAUCCGGAAAUCUUCGAAGGUUAAAGAUCGACUAAUCAUCCACUUCAGAAAGC
Molecule: long non-coding RNA, 212 nt
Filed under: Lathyrus oleraceus (garden pea)
Lineage: Eukaryota; Viridiplantae; Streptophyta; Magnoliopsida; Fabales; Fabaceae
Description: Pisum sativum (pea) long non-coding RNA (PSAT_LNC006618)
Source: RNAcentral